This 73-nucleotide transfer RNA is filed under the name Bos taurus (domestic cattle). It matches the Rfam family "tRNA". Rfam says of the family: Transfer RNA (tRNA) molecules are approximately 80 nucleotides in length. Their secondary structure includes four short double-helical elements and three loops (D, anti-codon, and T loops). Lineage: Eukaryota; Metazoa; Chordata; Mammalia; Artiodactyla; Bovidae. The record is from Rfam by way of RNAcentral. RNAcentral also lists the same sequence under 3 other names.
UCUCUGGCGGUCCAGUGGUUGGGACUUAGCACUUUCACUGCCAUGGCCUGGGGUUCAAUCCCUGGUCAGGGAA